Molecule: ribosomal RNA, 485 nt
Filed under: uncultured bacterium
Lineage: Bacteria
Description: partial 16S ribosomal RNA
Rfam family: Bacterial small subunit ribosomal RNA
Source: RNAcentral
ACUCAAAUGAAUAGACGGGGGCCCGCACAAGCAGCGGAGCGUGUGGUUUAAUUCGAGGGUACACGAAGAACCUUACCUGGGUUUGACAUGGAUGUGGUACGCAAGGGAAACUGCGCGGACUCUUCGGAGAGCGUUCACAGGUGCUGCAUGGUUGUCGUCAGCUCGUGCCGUGAGGUGUUCGGUUAAGUCCGCAAACGAGCGCAACCCUCGGCGUUAGUUACAAGUGUCUAACGCGACUGCCCGUGGCAAACGGGAGGAAGGUGGGGAUGAUGUCAAAUCAGCAUGGCCUUUAUAUCCAGGGCUACACACACGCUACAAUGGCGCGUACAGUGGGUCGCGAAGCCGCGAGGUGGAGCCAAUCCUAAAAAGCGCGUCACAGUUCGGAUUGUAGGCUGCAACUCGCCUGCAUGAAGUCGGAGUUGCUAGUAACCGCGUAUCAGCAUGGCGCGGUGAAUACGUUCCCGGGCCUUGCACACACCGCCCGU